Molecule: ribosomal RNA, 824 nt
Filed under: uncultured bacterium
Lineage: Bacteria
Description: bacterial SSU rRNA
Rfam family: Bacterial small subunit ribosomal RNA
Source: RNAcentral
GGGCGUAAAGCGCGCGUAGGUGNUAGUUUGGGUCGCGGAUUAAAUUUCAAGGCUCAACCUUGAAUAUUUCCGCGAAACUAAAUUACUUGGGAUAGUCAGAGGCAAGCGGAACACCUGGUGUAGGGGUAAAAUCCGUUGAUAUCAGGUGGAACACCAAUGGCGAAAGCAGCUUGCUGGGGCUCAUCCGACACUAAGGCGCGAAAGCGUGGGUAGCGAACGGGAUUAGAUACCCCGGUAGUCCACGCUGUAAACUAUGCUGACUAGAUAUUGGAAGUUCGACCCUUUCAGUAUCGUAGCUAACGCGUUAAGUCAGUCGCCUGGGGAGUACGGUCGCAAGACUAAAACUCAAAGGAAUUGACGGGGACCCGCACAAGCGGUGGAGCAUGUGGUUUAAUUCGACAACAAGCGAGGAACCUUACCAGGGCUUGUAUCUACCGAACCUUGCCGAAACGCGAGGGUGCCCUUUUUGGGAGCGGUAUGACAGGUGCUGCACGGCUGUCGUCAGCUCGUGUCGUGAGAUGUACGGUUAAAUCCGGUAACGAGCGUAACCCGUAUGAUGUGUUAUAUUUCUCACAUCAGACUGCCCGCUUUAAGUGGGAGGAAGGCGCGGAUGACGUCAAGUCAGCGUGGCUCUUACGUCCUGGGCGACACACGUGCUACAAUGGCCAGUUCAAUGGGUUGCAAAAUCGCGAGAUGAAGCUAAUCCCAGCAAAACUGGUCCCAGCUCGGAUAGGAGUCUGCAACUCGACUUUUUGAAGCUGGAAUCGCUAGUAAACGCAUAUCAGCCAUGGUGCGUUGAAUACGUUCUCGGGUCUUGUACACAC